RNAcentral lists this ribosomal RNA (325 nucleotides) under uncultured eukaryote. RNAcentral's name for it is "partial 18S ribosomal RNA". It matches the Rfam family "Eukaryotic small subunit ribosomal RNA", at positions 1470 to 1796 of the family's 1831-position model. The record is from RNAcentral.
CCCUUAGAUGUCCUGGGCCGCACGCGCGCUACACUGAUGCAUUCAACGAGUUUCACCUUGGCCGAGAGGCCUGGGCAAUCUUUUAAACCUGCAUCGUGAUAGGGAUAGAUUAUUGCAAUUGUUAAUCUUGAACGAGGAAUUCCUAGUAAACGCAAAUCAUCAAUUUGCAUUGAUUACGUCCCUGCCCUUUGUACACACCGCUCGUCGCACCUACCGAUUGAAUGGUCCGGUGAAGCCUCGGGAUUGUGGCCAGUUCACUUUAUUGGGAGUUGGCUGUGAGAACUUGUCUAAACCUUAUCAUUUAGAGGAAGGUGAAGUCGUAACA